This 253-nucleotide ribosomal RNA is filed under the name uncultured bacterium. Its description in RNAcentral is "partial 16S ribosomal RNA". It matches the Rfam family "Bacterial small subunit ribosomal RNA", at positions 524 to 776 of the family's 1533-position model. The record is from RNAcentral.
UACGUAGGGGGCAAGCGUUGUCCGGAAUCACUGGGCGUAAAGCGCGUGUAGGCGGCCCAUUAAGUCUGAUGUGAAAGCCCGGGGCUCACCCCCGGAAGUGCAUUGGAAACUGAUGGACUCGAGUCCCGGAGAGGAGAGUGGAAUUCCUGGUGUAGCGGUGAAAUGCGUAGAUAUCAGGAGGAACACCGGUGGCGAAGGCGGCUCUCUGGACGGUGACUGACGCUGAGACGCGAAAGCGUGGGGAGCAAACAGG